Molecule: non-coding RNA, 104 nt
Organism: Puccinia sorghi
Lineage: Eukaryota; Fungi; Basidiomycota; Pucciniomycetes; Pucciniales; Pucciniaceae
Source: the annotation of a GenBank genome assembly
UCCAUCAGACAAUGUGAAGCCUUCAGAGACCCCAUCCUACAUCUAUGAUGGAGGGAGGUCUUAGGUGGAAACUGCGAACAUUAUGCUAUUUUUCAUCACAUGGA